Long non-coding RNA from Arabidopsis thaliana (thale cress), 236 nucleotides. RefSeq annotates it as other RNA. The record is from RefSeq. The transcript has a single exon. NCBI's taxonomy places the organism in Eukaryota, Viridiplantae, Streptophyta, Magnoliopsida, Brassicales, Brassicaceae.
AGGCAAAUUAUGUUUUGAUUAGUUUUUUUUUUUUUUUUUGAACCAAGUUUUGAUUAGUUUUCUUAACUCGUUCAAUUAUCUGGUUUCUUCUUCGUAAAUAUGAAAUGAAUAUUAGUCGAUGGAUUUACGGCCAGUCGGCCGCCUUGAAAAAUCAGUAAGCAGUUUGGUAGUGGCGGACCCAGCCAAAAAAUUAAGUGGGUACAAAAUGUAGCCAGAUAGAAUCGAACCAGCCACCU